GAUGAACGCUGGCGGCGUGCCUAAUACAUGCAAGUCGAACGAAACUUCUUUAUCACCGAGUGCUUGCACUCACCGAUAAAGAGUUGAGUGGCGAACGGGUGAGUAACACGUGGGCAACCUGCCCAAAAGAGGGGGAUAACACUUGGAAACAGGUGCUAAUACCGCAUAACCAUAGUUACCGCAUGGUAACUAUGUAAAAGGUGGCUAUACUACCGCUUUUGGAUGGGCCCGCGGCGCAUUAGCUAGUUGGUAGGGUAAAGGCUUACCAAGGCAAUGAUGCGUAGCCGAAGUGAGAGGUUGAUAGGCCACAUUGGGACUGAGACACGGACCAAACUCCUACGGGAGGCAGCAGUAGGGAAUCUUCCACAAUGGGCGAAAGCCUGAUGGAGCAACGCCGCGUGGGUGAAGAAGGUCUUCGGAUCGUAAAACCCUGUUGUUAGAGAAGAAAGUGCGUGAGAGUAACUGUUCACGUUUCGACGGUAUCUAACCGGAAAGCCACGGCUAACUACGUG
Molecule: ribosomal RNA, 512 nt
Filed under: uncultured bacterium
Lineage: Bacteria
Description: partial 16S ribosomal RNA
Rfam family: Bacterial small subunit ribosomal RNA
Source: RNAcentral